UUGUUGGUAAGGUAAAAGCUUACCAAGGCUUCGAUCAGUAGCUGGUCUGAGAGGACGACCAGCCACACUGGGACUGAGACACGGCCCAGACUCCUACGGGAGGCAGCAGUGGGGAAUUUUGGACAAUGGGGGCAACCCUGAUCCAGCCAUGCCGCGUGAGUGAAGAAGGCCUUCGGGUUGUAAAGCUCUUUCAGCCGGAACGAAACGGUUACGGAUAACACCCGUGACUACUGACGGUACCGGAAGAAGAAGCACCGGCUAACUACGUGCCAGCAGCCGCGGUAAUACGUAGGGUGCGAGCGUUAAUCGGAAUUACUGGGCGUAAAGCGUGCGCAGGUGGUUUUGUAAGUCAGAUGUGAAAGCCCCGGGCUCAACCUGGGAACUGCGUUUGAAACUACAAGACUAGAGUGUGGCGGAGGGGGGUGGAAUUCCGCGUGUAGCAGUGAAAUGCGUAGAGAUGUGGAGGAGCACCGAUGGCGAAGGCAGCCCCCUGGGUCAACACUGACGCUCAGGCACGAAAGCAUGGGGAGCAAACAGGAUUAGAUACCCUGGUAGUCCAUGCCCUAAACGAUGUCAACUAGUUGUCGGGCCUUUACGGGCUUGGUAACGUAGCUAACGCGUGAAGUUGACCGCCUGGGGAGUACGAUCGCAAGAUUAAAACUCAAAUGAAUUGACGGGGACCCGCACAAGCGGUGGAUUAUGUGGAUUAAUUCGAUGCAACGCGAAAAACCUUACCUACCCUUGACAUGUAUCGAAGCCCGCAGAAAAGCGGGGGUGCCCGAAAGGGAACGAUAACACAGGUGCUGCAUGGCUGUCGUCAGCUCGUGUCGUGAGAUGUUGGGUUAAGUCCCGCAACGAGCGCAACCCUUGUCAUUAAUUGCCAUCAUUUAGUUGGGCACUUUAAUGAGACUGCCGG
This 916-nucleotide ribosomal RNA is filed under the name uncultured bacterium. Its description in RNAcentral is "bacterial SSU rRNA". It matches the Rfam family "Bacterial small subunit ribosomal RNA", at positions 246 to 1155 of the family's 1533-position model. The record is from RNAcentral.